RNAcentral lists this ribosomal RNA (200 nucleotides) under uncultured bacterium. Its description in RNAcentral is "partial 16S ribosomal RNA". It matches the Rfam family "Bacterial small subunit ribosomal RNA", at positions 29 to 255 of the family's 1533-position model. The record is from RNAcentral.
AGCGAACGCUGGCGGCAGGCCUAACACAUGCAAGUCGAACGGACCCUUCGGGGUUAGUGGCGGACGGGUGAGUAACACGUGGGAACGUGCCUUUAGGUUCGGAAUAGCUCCUGGAAACGGGUGGUAAUGCCGAAUGUGCCCUUCGGGGGAAAGGAUUUAUCGCCUUUAGAGCGGCCCGCGUCUGAUUAGCUAGUUGGUGA